ACGGGAGGCAGCAGUGGGGAAUAUUGCACAAUGGGGGGAACCCUGAUGCAGCGAUGCCGCGUGGAGGAAGAAGGUUUUCGGAUUGUAAACUCCUGUCUUAAAGGACGAUAAUGACGGUACUUUAGGAGGAAGCUCCGGCUAACUACGUGCCAGCAGCCGCGGUAAUACGUAGGGAGCGAGCGUUGUCCGGAAUUACUGGGUGUAAAGGGAGCGUAGGCGGGAUUGCAAGUCAGAUGUGAAAUACAGGGGCUCAACCUCUGGGCUGCAUUUGAAACUGUAGUUCUUGAGUGAAGUAGAGGCAAGCGGAAUUCCUGGUGUAGCGGUGAAAUGCGUAGAUAUAAGGAAGAACACCAGUGGCGAAGGCGAUCUACUGGACAGUAACUGACGCUGAGGCGCGAGAGCGUGGGGAGCAAACAGGAUUAGAUACCCUGGUA
This 434-nucleotide ribosomal RNA is filed under the name uncultured Ruminococcus sp. Its description in RNAcentral is "partial 16S ribosomal RNA". It matches the Rfam family "Bacterial small subunit ribosomal RNA", at positions 341 to 792 of the family's 1533-position model. Lineage: Bacteria; Bacillati; Bacillota; Clostridia; Eubacteriales; Oscillospiraceae. The record is from RNAcentral.